This 440-nucleotide ribosomal RNA is filed under the name uncultured soil bacterium. RNAcentral's name for it is "bacterial SSU rRNA". It matches the Rfam family "Bacterial small subunit ribosomal RNA", at positions 26 to 518 of the family's 1533-position model. The record is from RNAcentral.
AGAGCGAACGCUGGCGGCAGGCCUAACACAUGCAAGUCGAGCGCCCCGCAAGGGGAGCGGCGGACGGGUGAGUAACACGUGGGAACGUGCCCUUCGGUUCGGGAUAACUCAGGGAAACUUGAGCUAACACCGGAUACGCCCUUCGGGGGAAAGGUUACGCCGAUGGAGCGGCCCGCGUUGGAUUAGCUUGUUGGUGGGGUAAUGGCCCACCAAGGCUACGAUCCAUAGCUGGUCUGAGAGGAUGAUCAGCCACACUGGGACUGAGACACGGCCCAGACUCCUACGGGAGGCAGCAGUGGGGAAUCUUGCGCAAAUGGGCGAAAGCCUGACGCAGCCAUGCCGCGUGAAUGAUGAGGGUCUUAGGAUUGUAAAAUUCUUUCAGCGGGACGAUAAUGACGGUACCCGCAGAAGAAGCCCGGCUAACUCGUGCCAGCAGCCGC